This 468-nucleotide ribosomal RNA is filed under the name uncultured bacterium. RNAcentral's name for it is "partial 16S ribosomal RNA". It matches the Rfam family "Bacterial small subunit ribosomal RNA", at positions 28 to 507 of the family's 1533-position model. The record is from RNAcentral.
GACGAACGCUGGCGGCGCGCCUAACACAUGCAAGUCGAACGGAGCUGAGAGAAGCUUGCUUUUCUUAGCUUAGUGGCGCACGGGUGAGUAACGCGUGUGUAACCUGCUCUGGAGUGGGGGACAACAGGUGGAAACGACUGCUAAUACCGCAUAAGCCCACGAUCCGGCAUCGGAUUGAGGGAAAAGGAUUUAUUCGCUUCAGGAUGGACUCGCGUCCACUUAGCUAGUUGGUGAGGUAACGCCACACCAAGGCGACGAUGGCUAGCCGGACUGAGAGGUUGACCGGCCACAUUGGGACUGAGACACGGCCCAGACUCCUACGGGAGGCAGCAGUGGGGGAUAUUGCACAAGGGAGGAAACCCUGAUGCAGCGGCGCCGCGUGGAGGAAGAAGGGGUUCGGAUUGUAAACUCCUGUCGUAAGGGACGAUAAUGACGGUACCUAACAAGAAAGCACCGGCUAACUACGUG